RNAcentral lists this microRNA precursor (59 nucleotides) under Columba livia (rock pigeon). RNAcentral's name for it is "Cli-Mir-31_pre stem-loop". It matches the Rfam family "mir-31 microRNA precursor family", at positions 12 to 71 of the family's 83-position model. The record is from RNAcentral. Lineage: Eukaryota; Metazoa; Chordata; Aves; Columbiformes; Columbidae.
AGGCAAGAUGUUGGCAUAGCUGUAGACCUAAAAACCUGCUAUGCCAACAUAUUGUCAUC